This 559-nucleotide ribosomal RNA is filed under the name uncultured bacterium. RNAcentral's name for it is "bacterial SSU rRNA". It matches the Rfam family "Bacterial small subunit ribosomal RNA", at positions 340 to 916 of the family's 1533-position model. The record is from RNAcentral.
UACGGGAGGCAGCAGUGGGGAAUAUUGGACAAUGGGCGCAAGCCUGAUCCAGCAAUGCCGCGUGUGUGAAGAAGGUCUUCGGAUUGUAAAGCACUUUCGACGGGGACGAUGAUGACGGUACCCGUAGAAGAAGCCCCGGCUAACUUCGUGCCAGCAGCCGCGGUAAUACGAAGGGGGCUAGCGUUGCUCGGAAUGACUGGGCGUAAAGGGCGCGUAGGCGGUUUGGACAGUCAGAUGUGAAAUUCCUGGGCUUAACCUGGGGGCUGCAUUUGAUACGUAUAGACUAGAGUGUGAGAGAGGGUUGUGGAAUUCCCAGUGUAGAGGUGAAAUUCGUAGAUAUUGGGAAGAACACCGGUGGCGAAGGCGGCAACCUGGCUCAUAACUGACGCUGAGGCGCGAAAGCGUGGGGAGCAAACAGGAUUAGAUACCCUGGUAGUCCACGCUGUAAACGAUGUGUGCUGGAUGUUGGGUGGCUUAGCCUCUCAGUGUCGUAGUUAACGCGAUAAGCACACCGCCUGGGGAGUACGGCCGCAAGGUUGAAACUUAAAGGAAUUGACGG